CCCUUAGAUGUUCUGGGCUGCACGCGUGUUACAAUGGCGUUUCCAGCAAGUCUGCGAACCCGAGAGGGCCAGCGGAUCUUCGAAUUGGCGUCGUGAUCGGGACAGUCGAUUGCAAUUAUUUGACUCAAACGAGGAAUUCCUUGUAAUCGCGAUUCAUCAUAUCGCGCUGAAUACGUCCCUGCCCUUUGUACACACCGCCCGUCGCUCCUACCGAUUGAGCGAUCCGGUAAAUGUUUUGGAUUGGUGCCGGGGCGGCUAGCUGCCGGUCGCUACGAAAUUUUGUGAACCUUAUCGCUUAGAGGAAGGAAAAGUCGUAACA
This 319-nucleotide ribosomal RNA is filed under the name uncultured eukaryote. Its description in RNAcentral is "partial 18S ribosomal RNA". It matches the Rfam family "Eukaryotic small subunit ribosomal RNA", at positions 1470 to 1796 of the family's 1831-position model. The record is from RNAcentral.